CACUUUCAACAACGGAUCUCUUGGCUCUCGCAUCGAUGAAGAACGCAGCGAAAUGCGAUAAGUAAUGUGAAUUGCAGAAUUCAGUGAAUCAUCGAAUCUUUGAACGCACCUUGCGCCUCUUGGUAUUCCGAGAGGCAGCCUGUUCGAGUGUCA
RNAcentral lists this ribosomal RNA (153 nucleotides) under uncultured fungus. Its description in RNAcentral is "partial 5.8S ribosomal RNA". It matches the Rfam family "5.8S ribosomal RNA". Rfam says of the family: 5.8S ribosomal RNA (5.8S rRNA) is a component of the large subunit of the eukaryotic ribosome. The record is from RNAcentral. Lineage: Eukaryota; Fungi.